AUUAGAUACCCUAUUAUUUUAAAUGUGAAUUUUAAAUGCUAAAUUAGUAUUAGUUAUGUUCUUGAAAAUUAAAAAAUUUGGCGGUAUUUUAGUCUUUUCAGAGGAACCUGCCCUGUAAUUGAUAGUCCACGAUUAGACGAACUUUAUUUAUUAGUUUACAUAUCGUCGUAGUUUGAAUAUUUUAAUAGAAAUUUAAAUAUUCAAAGUUUUAUAUAAAAAAAUAAAUCAGAUCAAGGUGUAGUUUAUAAUGAAGGAGAGGUGGGUUACAUUAAAUUUAUUUAAGGAUAAUUUUUUUUAAAAAAAUUUGAAUGUGGAUUUGAUAGUAAUUUAAUAUAUUUUUAUAAGAUGAUUAUAGCUCUAAAAUAUGCAC
Molecule: ribosomal RNA, 370 nt
Filed under: Bruchidius foveolatus
Lineage: Eukaryota; Metazoa; Arthropoda; Insecta; Coleoptera; Chrysomelidae
Description: partial 12S small subunit ribosomal RNA
Source: RNAcentral